This 73-nucleotide transfer RNA is filed under the name Acropora cervicornis. RNAcentral describes it as "tRNA-Pro". It matches the Rfam family "tRNA". Rfam says of the family: Transfer RNA (tRNA) molecules are approximately 80 nucleotides in length. Their secondary structure includes four short double-helical elements and three loops (D, anti-codon, and T loops). The record is from RNAcentral. Lineage: Eukaryota; Metazoa; Cnidaria; Anthozoa; Scleractinia; Acroporidae.
GGCCUCGUGGCCCAAUGGAGAAGGCCUCUGACUUGGGAUCAGAAGAUUCCAGGUUCGAGUCCUGGCGGGGUCG